GACGAACGCUGGCGGCGUGCUUAACACAUGCAAGUCGAACGGAAAGGCCCUGCUUUUGUGGGGUGCUCGAGUGGCGAACGGGUGAGUAACACGUGAGUAACCUGCCCUUGACUUUGGGAUAACUUCAGGAAACUGGGGCGAAUACCGGAUAGGAGCUCCUGCUGCAUGGUGGGGGUUGGAAAGUGUCGGCGGUUGGGGAUGGACUCGCGGCUUAUCAGCUUGUUGGUGGGGUAGUGGCUUACCAAGGCUUUGACGGGUAGCCGGCCUGAGAGGGUGACCGGCCACAUUGGGACUGCGAUACGGCCCAGACUCCUACGGGCGGCAGCAGUGGGGAAUAUUGCACAAUGGGCGGAAGCCUGAUGCAGCAACGCCGCGUGCGGGAUGACGGCCUUCGGGUUGUAAACCGCUUUCGCCUGUGACGAAGCGUGAGUGACGGUAAUGGGUAAAGAAGCACCGGCUAACUACGUG
RNAcentral lists this ribosomal RNA (468 nucleotides) under uncultured bacterium. RNAcentral's name for it is "partial 16S ribosomal RNA". It matches the Rfam family "Bacterial small subunit ribosomal RNA", at positions 28 to 507 of the family's 1533-position model. The record is from RNAcentral.